RNAcentral lists this ribosomal RNA (745 nucleotides) under uncultured bacterium. RNAcentral describes it as "bacterial SSU rRNA". It matches the Rfam family "Bacterial small subunit ribosomal RNA", at positions 51 to 790 of the family's 1533-position model. The record is from RNAcentral.
ACACAUGCAAGUCGAGGGGCAGCGAGGGAGUGGCAACACUUCUGUCGGCGACCGGCGCACGGGUGAGUAACGCGUAUGCAACCUGCCCUUCACAGGGGGAUAACCGGGAGAAAUUCCGACUAAUACCGCAUACGUCCUCCGGGGGCAUCCCCGGGGGAUGAAAGAGUUAUCGGUGAAGGAUGGGCAUGCGUGAUAUUAGGUAGUUGGCGGGGCAACGGCCCACCAAGCCCACGAUAUCUAGGGGUUCUGAGAGGAAGGUCCCCCACAUUGGUACUGAGACACGGACCAAACUCCUACGGGAGGCAGCAGUGAGGAAUAUUGGUCAAUGGACGAGAGUCUGAACCAGCCAAGUCGCGUGAAGGAAGACGGAUCUAUGGUUUGUAAACUUCUUUAGUGCGGGAACAAAGCGGCGUCGUGACGCCGGAUGAGUGUACCGCAAGAAUAAGUAUCGGCUAACUCCGUGCCAGCAGCCGCGGUAAUACGGAGGAUGCGAGCGUUAUCCGGAUUUAUUGGGUUUAAAGGGAGCGCAGGCUGCGAGGCAAGUCAGCGGUCAAAUGUCGGGGCUCAACCCCGGCCUGCCGUUGAAACUGUUUUGCUAGAGUUCGAGUGAGGUAUGCGGAAUGCGUUGUGUAGCGGUGAAAUGCAUAGAUAUGACGCAGAACUCCGAUUGCGAAGGCAGCAUACCAACUCGCGACUGACGCUGAGGCUCGAAAGCGUGGGUAUCGAACAGGAUUAGAUACCCUGG